GAUGAACGCUGGCGGCGUGCCUAAUACAUGCAAGUCGAGCGAACGGACGAGAAGCUUGCUUCUCUGAUGUUAACGGCGGACGGGUGAGUAACACGUGGAUAACCUACCUAUAAGACUGGGAUAACUUCGGGAAACCGGAGCUAAUACCGGAUAAUAUUUUGAACCGCAUGGUUCAAAAGUGAAAGACGGUCUUGCUGUCACUUAUAGAUGGAUCCGCGCUGCAUUAGCUAGUUGGUAAGGUAACGGCUUACCAAGGCAACGAUGCAUAGCCGACCUGAGAGGGUGAUCGGCCACACUGGAACUGAGACACGGUCCAGACUCCUACGGGAGGCAGCAGUAGGGAAUCUUCCGCAAUGGGCGAAAGCCUGAAGGAGCAACGCCGAGUGAGUGAUGAAGGUCUUCGGAUCGUAAAACUCUGUUAUUAGGGAAGAACAGAUGUGUAAGUAACUGUGCACAUCUUGACGGUACCUAAUCAGAAAGCCACGGCUAACUACGUG
Molecule: ribosomal RNA, 497 nt
Filed under: uncultured bacterium
Lineage: Bacteria
Description: partial 16S ribosomal RNA
Rfam family: Bacterial small subunit ribosomal RNA
Source: RNAcentral